Lagopus muta (rock ptarmigan) is the source of this 1451-nucleotide long non-coding RNA. RefSeq lists it as uncharacterized. The record is from RefSeq and is a predicted model, not a curated record. Lineage: Eukaryota; Metazoa; Chordata; Aves; Galliformes; Phasianidae. The transcript is spliced from 3 exons.
CUGAAAUGAACCCCACGUGGGAACUGGCCUUAGGAGGUCAUGCUACUUUUGUGGCAAUGCAUGUGUGUUUUCAGACUUCCAGAAGUCUUACUGAGCCCUGUCACCUUCUUAGAUGCCUGGAAGGCUUUUACCCCACUGGACUCCUUAGCGACUGGAGGAGAUUUGGGUCAAGAAAAGAUGUUUUGUAGCCAGUUUUAAUUAUGGACUCACCACAGAAAGGUCUGGAUCUACAGGGGGUCAAAAGGCAGAACAGACCCCAUGACAAUUGAAAUUUUUGGAUCAAACUGCUGCCCAGAUGAUUUUGUAUUACCUUGACCCUUGUGAAUCAUAAAUUGGCUUAAGUUACAAGGGACCUCAAAGAUCAUCCAGCUCCGAUACAAUGACUUCUCCAUAGAAAGGACAGACCUUCGUGGGGCUGGCUGCCAACAGGAGGCACUUCUCGGGGCUGAGCAUCACUAUAAGGAUGUCUCGCAGCCUGCUUUGAAACCCUGACCCUUCUCACAGCAGGGUUUUAUGGAAUUGUGUUACAGACAGCCAUAAAAUCACAUAUAUGUGGGUCUGGUGUGGCAACAUGGAAACCUGCCACGCCACGAUUAUCAAUCUGUGGUGAAGCUCCAGCCAACUAAAGUGAGAUGUGUCGGAGAUUGCCUACCAAUCACUCCUAGUCAAAAUGAGCUCAGGCUUUUAAGACCCAUCAGAAAGCACAGCCAAGAAACGAAGCUGCUGAAAUGCUUUUCUUAGGCUGUCACAGCAUGUGCUGACAGAACCCACUGUACACUACAAAAUUAGAAGAGAUUUUUAAAUCUCCCCUCUCCCUCCCAUGCCAUUUCAAACCCCCAAAGAGAUAAUAAUUAUCAGCUGAUAGGAAAGCACCUUCCCACAUAACAGCAGGUUUUCUUGGUGACGGAUGCAUUGUGUUAAUAAGGUUAUGUCAGGGGAAACAGCCUCUUUUCCCACCUGCUUGAGCUUGUUACAGAUUAAUCAUGGCCUUCCUGGCCCACAUGUGGUCGCUCAGCAAAUUGUGCAUGUGGGCAUUUCAUGUAAGCACGACGUUUGUUAGGGUGGGAGCAAGGAGAUGCCUUGGGGAGCUGCACCAGCAGAGGAAGAGAGCACUGCAGACAGCCCCAUCUUGCACUCAGAAUGCCAAACACUCAUCUUGGAUCCCCCUUUUCUGAGUCAGAAGGGGUUGCAUCCAUGAAAACAUCCCCCACAGAACAAUGUGGUCUUUUGCAGUCCCCUCUUAGAACAGAUCUCAUGCUUUAUCACUGCGUUUGUGCUAUCACUUGCAAAUUGAGUAAUUCUGUGAUACCUCUCCAGUACUGGUGUAUGUUAGAUGAAUCAGGAACCUUACAGAAAUUACAUUUCCACUUAAAGUUUUUAUACAUGCUGUCCUAGAGGAUGCGAUAGGAACGUGAUUCAUGUUUCGUGCUACACUGUGGGGAAAGCAUGCA